Molecule: ribosomal RNA, 2900 nt
Filed under: Proteus mirabilis
Lineage: Bacteria; Pseudomonadati; Pseudomonadota; Gammaproteobacteria; Enterobacterales; Morganellaceae
Description: bacterial LSU rRNA
Rfam family: Bacterial large subunit ribosomal RNA
Source: RNAcentral
UUAAGCGAAUAAGCGUACACGGUGGAUGCCUAGGCAAUCAGAGGCGAUGAAGGACGUGCUAAUCUGCGAAAAGCGUCGGUAAGGUGAUAUGAACCGUUAUACCCGACGAUAUCCGAAUGGGGAAACCCAGUAUCCAAUGGAUACUAUCAUUAACUGAAUCCAUAGGUUAAUGAGGCGAACCGGGAGAACUGAAACAUCUCAGUACCCCGAGGAAAAGAAAUCAACCGAGAUUCCCCUAGUAGCGGCGAGCGAACGGGGAGCAGCCCAGAGUCUUAAUCAAUAACAGUGUCAGGAGAACGGUCUGGAAAGUCCGGCAGUAAAGGGUGAUAGCCCCGUAUCUGAAGAUGCUGUUAUUGUGAACUCGACGAGUAGGGCGGGACACGUGUUAUCCUGUCUGAAUAUGGGGGGACCAUCCUCCAAGGCUAAAUACUCCUGAUUGACCGAUAGUGAACCAGUACCGUGAGGGAAAGGCGAAAAGAACCCCGGCGAGGGGAGUGAAAAAGAACCUGAAACCGUGUACGUACAAGCAGUAGGAGCCUCUUUAUGGGGUGACUGCGUACCUUUUGUAUAAUGGGUCAGCGACUUAUAUUCUGUAGCAAGGUUAACCGUAUAGGGGAGCCGUAGGGAAACCGAGUCUUAACUGGGCGAAUGAGUUGCAGGGUAUAGACCCGAAACCCGGUGAUCUAUCCAUGGGCAGGUUGAAGGUUGGGUAACACUAACUGGAGGACCGAACCGACUAAUGUUGAAAAAUUAGCGGAUGACUUGUGGAUGGGGGUGAAAGGCCAAUCAAACCGGGAGAUAGCUGGUUCUCCCCGAAAGCUAUUUAGGUAGCGCCUCGUGAACUCAUCUUCGGGGUAGAGCACUGUUUCGACUAGGGGGUCAUCCCGACUUACCAACUCGAUGCAAACUGCGAAUACCGAAGAAUGUUAUCACGGGAGACACACGGCGGGUGCUAACGUCCGUCGUGAAGAGGGAAACAACUCAGACCGCCAGCUAAGGUCCCAAAGUCAUGGUUAAGUGGGAAACGAAGUGGGAAGGCUCAGACAGCCAGGAUGUUGGCUUAGAAGCAGCCAUCAUUUAAAGAAAGCGUAAUAGCUCACUGGUCGAGUCGGCCCGCGCGGAAGAUGUAACGGGGCUAAACCAUGCACCGAAGCUGCGGCAGCGACACAAAGUGUUGUUGGGUAGGGGAGCGUUCUGUAAGCCUGCGAAGGUGUACUGUGAGGUAUGCUGGAGGUAUCAGAAGUGCGAAUGCUGACAUAAGUAACGAUAAUGCGGGUGAAAAACCCGCACGCCGGAAGACCAAGGGUUCCUGUCCAACGUUAAUCGGGGCAGGGUGAGUCGACCCCUAAGGCGAGGCUGAAAAGCGUAGUCGAUGGGAAACGGGUUAAUAUUCCCGUACUGGUGGUAACUGCGAUGGGGGAACGGAGAAGGCUAGGUUGUCCGGGCGACGGUCGUCCCGGUUCAAGCAGGUAGGCAGAGUGACUAGGCAAAUCCGGUCACUUAAUGCUGAGAUGUGAUGACGAACCACCAAGGUGGUGAAGCAAUUGAUGCCCCGCUUCCAGGAAAAGCCUCUAAGCUUCAGGUUACCAACAAUCGUACCCCAAACCGACACAGGUGGUCAGGUAGAGAAUACUCAGGCGCUUGAGAGAACUCGGGUGAAGGAACUAGGCAAAAUGGUGCCGUAACUUCGGGAGAAGGCACGCUGGCGGUAGGUAAAGUCCCUCGCGGACGGCGCUGAAGCCAGUCGAAGAUACCAGCUGGCUGCAACUGUUUAUUAAAAACACAGCACUGUGCAAACACGAAAGUGGACGUAUACGGUGUGACGCCUGCCCGGUGCUGGAAGGUUAAUUGAUGGGGUCAGCCGCAAGGCGAAGCUCCUGAUCGAAGCCCCAGUAAACGGCGGCCGUAACUAUAACGGUCCUAAGGUAGCGAAAUUCCUUGUCGGGUAAGUUCCGACCUGCACGAAUGGCGUAAUGAUGGCCAGGCUGUCUCCACCCGAGACUCAGUGAAAUUGAACUCGCUGUGAAGAUGCAGUGUACCCGCGGCAAGACGGAAAGACCCCGUGAACCUUUACUAUAGCUUGACACUGAACAUUGAGCCUUGAUGUGUAGGAUAGGUGGGAGGCUUUGAAGUGUGGACGCCAGUCUGCAUGGAGCCAACCUUGAAAUACCACCCUUUAACGUUUGAUGUUCUAACCUAGGCCCAUAAACUGGGUCGGGGACCGUGUCUGGUGGGUAGUUUGACUGGGGCGGUCUCCUCCUAAAGAGUAACGGAGGAGCACGAAGGUUGGCUAAGCAUGGUCGGACAUCAUGCGGUUAGUGCAAAGGCAUAAGCCAGCUUGACUGCGAGAGUGACGGCUCGAGCAGGUACGAAAGUAGGUCUUAGUGAUCCGGUGGUUCUGAAUGGAAGGGCCAUCGCUCAACGGAUAAAAGGUACUCCGGGGAUAACAGGCUGAUACCGCCCAAGAGUUCAUAUCGACGGCGGUGUUUGGCACCUCGAUGUCGGCUCAUCACAUCCUGGGGCUGAAGUAGGUCCCAAGGGUAUGGCUGUUCGCCAUUUAAAGUGGUACGCGAGCUGGGUUUAGAACGUCGUGAGACAGUUCGGUCCCUAUCUGCCGUGGGCGUUGGAAGAUUGAGAGGGGUUGCUCCUAGUACGAGAGGACCGGAGUGAACGCACCACUGGUGUUCGGGUUGUCAUGCCAAUGGCAUUGCCCGGUAGCUAAGUGCGGAAGAGAUAACCGCUGAAAGCAUCUAAGCGGGAAACUUGCCUCGAGAUGAGUCUUCCCUGUCGCUUUAAGCGACCUAAAGGAACGUUUAAGACUAAGACGUUGAUAGGCUGGGUGUGUAAGCGUAGCGAUACGUUGAGCUAACCAGUACUAAUGAACCGUGAGGCUUAACCUG